UUAUGCGCUAUUUUCCAACGAAAAAACUUUACCUUUUUAGGAUGAUGUCCUUUCCAUACUGUCUUUGCUAGCAUGGUAUUUAUUGCUUCUACUUUUUCCCUCAUGUCCAUCAUCAAGGAUUUUGUAGAGAACCCUGUCAAUUUAAACCUAGGACCACUAAGGUUGAAGCCACGAACAUUACCUAUAUGCCCAACCC
Molecule: long non-coding RNA, 196 nt
Organism: Cucurbita maxima (winter squash)
Lineage: Eukaryota; Viridiplantae; Streptophyta; Magnoliopsida; Cucurbitales; Cucurbitaceae
Exons: 2
Source: RefSeq, a predicted model, not a curated record